UCCGGUUUGGCACCGGCAGUCUCCCUAGAGUUCCCGGCAUGAUCCGCUGGCAACUAAGGACAGGGGUUGCGCUCGUUGCGCCACUUAAGGCAACACCUCACGACACGAGUUGACGACAGCCAUGCACCACCUGUGAACCGGCCCCAAAGGGGAAGGGCUGUUUCCAGCCCGGUCCGGCCCAUGUCAAGCCUUGGUAAGGUUCUUCGCGUUGCAUCGAAUUAAGCCACAUGCUCCGCCGCUUGUGCGGGCCCCCGUCAAUUCCUUUGAGUUUUAGCCUUGCGGCCGUACUCCCCAGGCGGGGUGCUUAAUGCGUUAGCGUCGGCACGGAGGGGGUUGAUGCCCCCCACACCUAGCACCCAACGUUUACGGCUGGGACUAC
RNAcentral lists this unclassified non-coding RNA (379 nucleotides) under uncultured Actinomycetes bacterium. Its description in RNAcentral is "uncultured actinobacterium contains 16S-23S intergenic spacer region". The record is from RNAcentral. Lineage: Bacteria; Bacillati; Actinomycetota; Actinomycetes.